RNAcentral lists this ribosomal RNA (435 nucleotides) under uncultured bacterium. RNAcentral describes it as "partial 16S ribosomal RNA". It matches the Rfam family "Bacterial small subunit ribosomal RNA", at positions 29 to 507 of the family's 1533-position model. The record is from RNAcentral.
AGCGAACGCUGGCGGCAGGCUUAACACAUGCAAGUCGAGCGGGCACUUUCGGGUGUCAGCGGCGGACGGGUGAGUAACGCGUGGGAACGUGCCCUCUGGUUCGGAAUAACUCAGGGAAACUUGAGCUAAUACCGGAUACGCCCUUCUGGGGAAAGGCUUGCUGCCGGAGGAUCGGCCCGCGUCUGAUUAGCUAGUUGGUGAGGUAACGGCUCACCAAGGCGACGAUCAGUAGCUGGUCUGAGAGGAUGAUCAGCCACACUGGGACUGAGACACGGCCCAGACUCCUACGGGAGGCAGCAGUGGGGAAUAUUGGACAAUGGGCGCAAGCCUGAUCCAGCCAUGCCGCGUGAGUGAUGAAGGCCUUAGGGUUGUAAAGCUCUUUUAUCCGGGACGAUAAUGACGGUACCGGAGGAAUAAGCCCCGGCUAACUUCGUG